RNAcentral lists this transfer RNA (73 nucleotides) under Nicotiana sylvestris (wood tobacco). It matches the Rfam family "tRNA". From Rfam's summary of the family: Transfer RNA (tRNA) molecules are approximately 80 nucleotides in length. Their secondary structure includes four short double-helical elements and three loops (D, anti-codon, and T loops). Lineage: Eukaryota; Viridiplantae; Streptophyta; Magnoliopsida; Solanales; Solanaceae. The record is from Rfam by way of RNAcentral.
GCUUUCAUAGCUUAGUUGGUUAGAGCGCCCGCUUAAUUAGCGGAGGUCUUGAGUUUGACUCUCUAUAAAAAUA